This is an RNA transcript of Ipomoea nil (Japanese morning glory), 1007 nucleotides long. It is a transcript of the gene named heavy metal-associated isoprenylated plant protein 26-like, with no coding region annotated. NCBI's taxonomy places the organism in Eukaryota, Viridiplantae, Streptophyta, Magnoliopsida, Solanales, Convolvulaceae. The record is from RefSeq and is a predicted model, not a curated record. The transcript is spliced from 3 exons.
UUAGAGCGCCUUUCAAAAUCAUGGUCUCAACGUCAAACAAGAGCACCUGAGCGGCUGAGCUCGCUAGAGAUAAGUAAGAGCAUUCAAGAUAUUUUCUUUAAUCAUUUAAGUUUGUCGUCUUUAUUAGUGAGUCCCCCUACGACUACGGCUACUAGUCAUUAUCCAAUUUCAUUGCAACUAGUUGGUGAGUGAGAGAAUUGAAGGAGGGCGGAGAAAGAAUGGGAGUUCUGGAUCAUCUGUCUGAUGUGUUUGACUGCUCCACUGGCGAAUCUAAGCACAAGAAACGCAAGCAAUUGCAGACAGUGGAGGUAAGAGUGAAGAUGGACUGUGAGGGAUGUGAGAGGAAAGUGAGAAGGUCUGUUGAGGGAAUGAAAGGAGUGAGCUCAGUACAGAUUGAGCCGAAGCAACACAAACUCACAGUUAUCGGGUAUGUGGAUCCAGAUAAGGUUGUUGCCCGUGUGGCUCAUCGCACUGGCAAGAAGGCUGAGCUUUGGCCUUAUGUUCCCUACGACGUGGUAGCUCACCCAUAUGCACAAGGGGUGUAUGACAAGAAAGCCCCUGCUGGGUACGUGCGCAGGGCAGAUGAUGAUCCUCAACGUUACCAGCUUGCCCGUGCCAGUUCCACUGAAGUUCGCUACACCACUGCCUUCAGCGAUGAAAACCCAGCUGCAUGUGUUGUCAUGUGAUGUGUGUGUGUGUAUAUAUAUCAGGUGAGAACAAGUCUUUAGGUGUGGACGUGAGGACAAAUUAUGGCUAUUGAUUAUGCAUUAUGCAAGAUCGAUGGAGUUGAAGGUAGUUGCAAGGCUAGCUCCCUACUUAUCUAAGGGGUUUGGAUGGAUGGCUGUUUGUUUUCUGUUUUCCUUAAUUUUGGACUAAUACAAGCAAGGCAAGGCAAGGCUGUAAGUGAUUUGUUUGUUUGGUUAUGAUGGAUGUUAAAUACUUCAUGUAUUUGAAUAAUAUUUGUUUGUUCAUGGAAAUGAGGAAACGUAAGCUAGCUAGCACGAAAA